CAUCUCUGGACCCGGUUCGUAAACAAAUCUACUCUGUUGCACACGGGACAGGCGCUCGGCCACAGAGACACCAGCACUGGUGUCACUGACUAGAUUAUUAACAUGGCAAACUCCCCCACAUGAGCAGAAAUCAACAACAAUGUCAGCACACUGCACUUGUGGGAGUCCUGUCAGUUGCUGUCUCAACAGCGGCUCUCUCAACAGCGGCCGGCAGGUCAGAGUGUGCACGGACAGGCCGGCACUGAGUGUCCACAAUGCUGCUCCCCGGGGGAGUCGGACCAGCACCCGAGCAUCGUGCAUAGAUGGAAAGUCCAGAGCCUGCUGUCACUCCUACCUCACAAUCACCUCAAACCCUCGAGCUGGAAAACAACCACAGCUCCUCUCCCCUCCCUCCUUCUUUCAGCAUCCCAGACCUCUACCAGAAUCAAAAUGAAUCAGUUCUUUGCCAGUUCAGUACCGAUCAGAACAACAGGGAAAGUCUCGCGCCCUUGAGCCCCAGUACUACACUGCCCCUGCUCUGUCAGGACCCCUGAACAGGGCUGGGGCAGAACCUCAUCUAGAGGAUCCCGAUCUCCCAGGUCACCCCUCCUGCAGAGCCCAGACAACAACAGCAGGGAGAGGGAGGCAGCCCUAUACAGCUAAUCCUUCAGUCAAAUAUACGCAUUGAGACUGGUUUGGCUUUUCAUAUGUGGAUGCCCCUUAUGGUGAUGUAAAUCAAACCCAGAUGAUAAACCUGUGACAAGCCAGUGUGUGCUGGGGUCUGACGUCCAGCCACAGAGAGCUGGGACCUCCCAACUUCCGAAACUGCCCCGCCAGCAGCUGUAAGAUGCCCUGAAAAGUGCGACUCACCGACAUCCCGGACCCUCCUGAGCGUCACGGCGGCGCGCUGCCCUGCUGCACGAGUCCUCGCACUUCAGGCGCUCGGGAGA
RNAcentral lists this long non-coding RNA (929 nucleotides) under Lepisosteus oculatus (spotted gar). Its description in RNAcentral is "lncRNA (ENSLOCG00000022634.1)". The record is from RNAcentral. Lineage: Eukaryota; Metazoa; Chordata; Actinopteri; Semionotiformes; Lepisosteidae.